UUUGAAGCUAUGUGCCAUGGUUGUGCAGUUUCCAAAACCAGACAAGGAUCCCUCUGGUUUUGUGAAUCAGCUGGCAUGGUAUGCUGUUAUGAUCCUACUAAGAGAUGCAUGUAUAAUUGAUGACAUGUUUAAGGGGUAGAUUUGGUGAGACAGAGCCAGCUGUGACUCUCGCAGUUCAAGAUGAGGAUGCACAGAGUAGACCUGACUGGAUAAAGGUUUAUAAAGCUCCAUUAAUGUGUUGUGCCCUUAGACUGAGAAUAGUGGAGGGACAAGAAGCAGCACAUGUCUCACGUCCACUUAUCUGUAUUUGAGUUGAGCUUUACAUUUUUAGACUAACAAACCUACAUUUCUUGUUCUCAGUGAACGCACCUAGUUUCAGGACCAUGCUUGUGGUGACGAUCUUUUUCCCUUCCUACCCGUUCUAAAUUGACUGCACUGUUCCACAGCUCCCUAGUUGAGUAUCUGAAAGCACCAGUCAGGGAGAAGGAAGCCACUGAGGGACAGUGUUCGGAAAAGCCGAUGUGACGCUGGGACCCAGAAGUUGUCGUGUUCACCUGUGAAGAAGACAAGGACCCUGCUGUACCAGACCCUCAUCGACAAUGACUCCUCUGCACCAUGAGUUGUUGAUCUCUUCAGAAACGUCAGGACACUCAAGCUGGAGAAAACCUGCUGACGCAAACAGGACCAUGAGGAGGCUGCUACCGACGUCCACACCAACCUCUUUGGUCCUGAGAACUGAGCCUGACUUGAUGAGAUCUUGAAGGGACUGUUUCAGCUGAAGCUCAGUUGGCCUUACCUGAGGCCACCACCUCCUCCUUGGAGGAGAUUACUGCAGCUACUGAGCUCUAACCUUUCCUCUGGAGUAGUGUGUUCCUUGACACUAUUUGAAGACUUUGUUUGAAUUUUGGAACUUUACUACAGAGUUGUACAAAAUUGGGUCAUUUUUCCAUCAUUAAAUGGUGGAAGAACUGGGACAGGCUUAGUGGUUAGACUGAUUCUCCAUACACAUGAAGUUGUGCUGUGACAUGUUGUAAGUCUGUCUUGAUAAGUGUAGUUGUGCUGUUUUCUAAAUCAUCACUGCCCAGAUUUUAAUAACUAUUUUACUUUAAAUGUCUGAGUUGUCUCACUCUGCCAAGUUUCAAGGGGAGAAUCGUGCUUCAGCUAGGCCGGGGGAGGGAAAGUUUUGCAUUUACUAGAUUUUGCGGACAUGGGAGGCCUCCCAGCAGGGGAAUGUAUCCUACCCCUGUAAAGUAUUGUCGCUGAUUGUAGGGAUAAGUUUAGCAGUUUCAUACGUAGAUGGGAUUGUUGUCAGACCUCGUUUGCGCGGUAGCAGCGAUACCAACUGAGCGUGGGUUCUUGGGAGGGAGCAAGCCUGACAGAGACAGACAACUCAGAUGAUCAAAUAAGCUCGGAGACACUCACUUUGAGUGUAUUUGCAUUCUUUUCCAUGAUGAGAAUGACUGGAGUGAUGACUGAAAACUAUCCACUCACCCUAACCGGUCGAGGCAGAAGGCCGCCCACCUUGAGUCGGGGUCUGUCGGAGGUUUCUUCCUAUAAAGAUUUCUUCCAC
This is a long non-coding RNA of Monopterus albus (swamp eel), 1570 nucleotides long. RefSeq lists it as uncharacterized. Lineage: Eukaryota; Metazoa; Chordata; Actinopteri; Synbranchiformes; Synbranchidae. The record is from RefSeq and is a predicted model, not a curated record. The transcript is spliced from 3 exons.